GACGAACGCUGGCGGCGUGCCUAAUACAUGCAAGUCGAACGAACCGCGACUAAGUGCUUGCACUAAGUCAAGGUGAGUGGCGAACGGGUGAGUAACACGUGGGUAACCUACCUCAUAGUGGGGGAUAACAGUCGGAAACGACUGCUAAUACCGCAUAGGACAUAGGAUCACAUGAUCCAGUGAGGAAAGGUGGCGCAAGCUAUCGCUAAGAGAUGGACCCGCGGUGCAUUAGCUAGUUGGUAGGGUAAAGGCCUACCAAGGCGAUGAUGCAUAGCCGACCGGAGAGGGUGAGCGGCCACAUGGGAACUGAGACACGGCCCAAACCCCUACGGGAGGCAGCAGGAGGGAAUCUUCCGCAAGGGGCGAAAGUCGGACGGAGCAACGCCGCGUGAGUGAAGAAGGUCUUCGGAUCGUAAAGCUCUGUUAUUAGAGAAGAACAGAUCAGAAAGUAACUGUUCGCGGUGGGACGGUACCUAACCAGAAAGCCACGGCUAACUACGUG
This 502-nucleotide ribosomal RNA is filed under the name uncultured bacterium. RNAcentral describes it as "partial 16S ribosomal RNA". It matches the Rfam family "Bacterial small subunit ribosomal RNA", at positions 28 to 507 of the family's 1533-position model. The record is from RNAcentral.